Molecule: ribosomal RNA, 441 nt
Filed under: uncultured bacterium
Lineage: Bacteria
Description: partial 16S ribosomal RNA
Rfam family: Bacterial small subunit ribosomal RNA
Source: RNAcentral
CCUACGGGAGGCAGCAGUGGGGGAUAUUGCACAAUGGGGGGAACCCUGAUGCAGCGACGCCGCGUGGGUGAAGGAGCGUUUCGGCGCGUAAAGCCCUAUCGGCAGGGAAGAAGAAGGAGGGUAUCUGACUCAGAAGACCCGGCUAACUACGGGCCAGCAGCCGCGGUAAUACGUAGGGGGCACGCGUUAUCUGGAUUUACUGGGUGUAAAGGGGGCGCAGACGGCAGCGCAAGCCAGGAGUGAAAGCCCGGGGCACAAGCCCGGGACUGCUGUUGGAACUGGGCGGCUGGAGUGCAGGAGGGGCAGGCGGAAUGCCUGGUGUAGCGGUGAAAUGCGUAGAUAUCAGGAGGAACACCGGUGGCGAAGGCGGCCUGCUGGACUGCGACUGACGUUGAGGCCCGAAAGCGUGGGGAGCAAACAGGAUUAGAUACCCCAGUAGUC